UGCGAAGGGGGCUAGCGUUGCUCGGAAUUACUGGGCGUAAAGGGCGCGCAGGCGGCUCUUCAAGUCAGGCGUGAAAGCCCCGGGCUCAACCUGGGAAUGGCGCAUGGGACUGGAGGGCUAGAGUUCGGGAGAGGAGCGUGGAAUUCCCAGUGUAGAGGUGAAAUUCGUAGAUAUUGGGAAGAACACCGGUGGCGAAGGCGGCGCUCUGGACCGAGACUGACGCUGAGGCGCGAAAGCGUGGGGAGCAAACAGG
Molecule: unclassified non-coding RNA, 253 nt
Filed under: uncultured Alphaproteobacteria bacterium
Lineage: Bacteria; Pseudomonadati; Pseudomonadota; Alphaproteobacteria
Description: contains 16S-23S intergenic spacer region
Rfam family: Bacterial small subunit ribosomal RNA
Source: RNAcentral